Molecule: long non-coding RNA, 3650 nt
Organism: Carassius gibelio (silver crucian carp)
Lineage: Eukaryota; Metazoa; Chordata; Actinopteri; Cypriniformes; Cyprinidae
Exons: 3
Source: RefSeq, a predicted model, not a curated record
ACGUAGAGUCUUUUUUUCCUCCCAGACGCACUGCGGCACAGCCAGACGACUAGAGUGGAGGCACAGGAGCUCACAGCUGCAGUCUACUGGCUUGUUUCGGGGAGGCAGAGGAGCCGAGCACUUCCUCUCGAAAUACCGUCGCUCUGCUUAUUUUUGCCGUUGAGGGAUCAUUUUCAUUGGGGCAGAUAGUAGAGCCAAGAAAGAAGACAAACUCUGAGUCCAACAACUUGGAAUUAACGUUGGUCUCAUUUGUAGACAGGAAAUUUGGAGAAGCGAGCUGGAUCUUAAUUUUUUUAGGGGUUGCUGACGCCAUCGCUUGCGAGCACCAGACCAGGUUCCUAGGCUGAGAAGUUGGUGCUAAAAGCUUGGAUUCCAGUCCGUCACCUGUCCGUCCCGUCAUAAACCCGUCCCACACGAGACGUCCAGUCAGUCGGGCCCAUCUGCAUUUCCAUUUGCGCCGACCAUCCAAAGUAGCUCCUCUGCUUCAAGGUUAAGGUGGCUUUCGGUCCUAGACUUAGUCCUUGUCCAGAGGGCAGGGCAGAGGCGAACAGAAACAGCGAAGCAGCAGCUAAGCAGAGCUCAGCCAGACAGACGCGGUGACCUAAAUCAGCCCCAGUCAUGUCUGGACGCAGCCAGAGCAAGGCAGACGGAGAGGAAGACAGAGCGAGAGAGAGAGGGAGAGAGCGACCCAAACGUACCGACUUGAACAUAUACUCACACUACGUAAACGGCCGGAUAAAAGGCGGGCUGAAGUGAGUUGGUCAGACAGGCCUUGCCAAACCCACAGGCUGUUCUGCUGCUUUGCUACCGCUGUGGUGUUUUGAUGUGCGCUACUGUGCAGAUGCAGUUUUUGGGCGGUCACCAACAAGCUACUGUACAGGAGGAGACUCUGGGAAAGUAAGGGAUAUCUUUCAAGUAAGAAAAUCCUGCUCCAGUGUGCCACAAGUCAUUGGAGAAGACAGGGCUUUGGAAGGAGAAAGGAAACCUUUAUUUUUUCUGUCCACAGAGAAGUAUAUGAAGGCAUAAAUUCAUAAUGUCUCUCCAAGAAAUGUAUAUUCAAACCAAAAAUUAUUCAGACACCAGAUACCAUUUUUUGAUAUUGUUUUAUUUUUUUUACUAGUGGGUGCAGGAUACUUGUUUAUUUGUGUUAAGUGAGGAUAGCAAAAUAAAGAAAACUGUGACAUAUUAUACCUAAAAAUUCUUUAUACAGUGGACUACCCAACAAAUUUGGGACCAAAAAUUAUUAUCACUUUGACCUAACCAUGUUUUUCUUAAGUUUUUUCCUUUAAUUGCUAAUGUGACAUUUUAUACCAUAGACCCCCCUUCCUCAAAUCUUAGGGCCGUUUCAUAGUCUAAACAGUAAACGCAAGCGUCACGAGUGAUGCGUGUAUGCAAUACACCACUCACGCAACAGGGGGUAGUAGAGUCGGGUCGCGUGAUAUUCAGAUCACAAUGGCAACUGUAGAGGAGUGUAUUCUGUUGCUGAUGAACUAUCGUAUAAAUGUGGAUGAAUACGUAUAAGUUUGCAUAAUUUUUCCUCUUCGCCCGCCAUUGUAUUCAAACCUUCUUCUUCUGUAAACACAAUAUACUUGAAUUAAUGUACAAUAGUAUUGCGUGAAUCGGCGCGUCGCGUAUCAAUAACUAGGACGACACAUUUGGCUACGCACCGACGCAUAAUGGCGGCCGAAGCGUAAUGAUGCGUAGCCUCGGGGACGCAUAUGCGUACAGAUGUGUUGACUAUGAAACGGCCCUUACCCUGGAGGUCCAAUGCGCUGCAGAGUUUAGCACCAACCCUGAUCAAAGUCAGCUGCUUGUGAUUUUCGAAUAAUCCCAAAGACAAUGAUUGGCAUUGAUUAGCAUGCUCAGGUGUGCUUGAUUAGGGUUAGAGCUAAACUCUGCAGGAAAGUGGAUCUCGAGGUCCAGAUUUGAGGAUCCCUGCCAUAGACUGUACAAAAUUAAACAUUGCUUGGUAAUUAGUAGACCUUAAUUGGUAUUAUUUAAUAGUGUAUUUUAUAGGGGUCAAAUGAUGCGAUUAAAAUUUUACCUUUCUGUUUGAAGUGUUGCAACCUCUUGGUGCAUAAGGAAGAUCUGUAAAGUUGCAAAGACUAAAGCCUCAAAUCCAAAGAGAUAAUCUUUAUAACUUUUUCAAGCCUCUCUAAAACGCCUCAUUUAAACAAGCCCCCACGUCUACAUCACUGUGUGAGAAGAUUUGCAUAACACCGCCCAAAUGUUCGCACAAAGAAAGAAGGGAUUACUUUUAUUCUCGCUGUAGGAUUGUUGUUGCCGCCACGGCUAUGUUGUUGAGACACUGAGUGUUUCAUUGUGAAAGUGAAACUACUUUGUAGGAUGAUAUCCUCUUUUUUCCAUUUUUUUCAUAUUUUAUAACUAUUUUCUAAACAAUUGAGAAUAAACUGUGAUAAUAUGAGAAAUAUUGAAGGUGUCUGAAUAAAUGUUGGUUUGACUUUGAAACCAGCUUGCCAAGGUAAGACACAUUUAUAACAGUCAAACUACUGUCAAUGUGUAUCAACCUCAUUUUGUUCAAAAUCUUUAUUACUUUCCUUCUUCUGCCGGACACAAGGUUUUGAAGAUCAGUAGGAGAAAAAGAGUUUUGGUAACCACUGAUUUCCAUUAUAUGAAAAAACAAACAAUCAGACAUUUCGCAAAAUAUAUUUUUUUGUAUAAAGCUGAUCAAUCAGAUAAUAAGGUUUUUGCUUGAAAGUACAAUGAGAGUAAACAUAUCAAACAUACACACUCCUGAUUAAGUUUGGGGGUCUGUAAGAUUUAUUUUAUUUUAUUUUAUUUUUUAUAGGCUUGAAUUUAUUUGAUGGAAAAUACAGCUAAAAUAUAUGCUGUUUGGCUGCUCAAGAAAGAUUUCUUCUUAUUAUUAGAUUGAAAACAUUUGUGCAUGCCACACCUCAUAUUUUCUUCCACCCAUGUGCUUCUGUUUGACUUAGAUUCUGUCUCCGUUUGAUUAUGUCAUAUAGUUCAAAUGUGUCUGGUUAAUUAUCCUCAUUUGCUCCUGUAUAAUAGUUGUGUUCUGUUCUCUGUUUGUCGUCCAUCUACUAUGUCCCUACAUGUGUCUCCAGCCUGUUCUGUCCUGGAUUUACACCUGUCAAUUUAUUAAAGACUAUUUACAUUUAUCAUCUUCUUUGUACAUUUAUCUUACUGUAGCAUGACAGAAAACCAGACCUAGAAGAGAAAGAGUAAGCUGUGCCUUUUCCCUGCGUCUUCUUUUUUCUUUUUUUACAUUUUUUGUUGUUGUUUAUUUCAUUAUGAAUCGGACGGAGAGCCAAUUUUUAGUUUUGUUUGCCUUCAGAUUAGCUUGCCUGUUCCAGAUCGGGGUGAAUAACCAUCACCGUGGACCUCCCAGACACCACUGGACUGAAUCACUGUGGUUGUUCACUCCUCAUGGACCUGUUUUGUUGUGUUUUUUCCCCCCAUGUGCUCUGUUUGACCUAGUUUCUGUCUCCGAUUGAUUAUAUCAUUUGGUUCAGGUGUGUCUGGUUAAUUAUCCUCAUUUGCUUCACUAUAUUAGUGGUGUUUUCUGUUCUUUGUAUGUCGUCUGGUCUACUACAUCCUAACGUGUGUGUCCUGCCUGUUCUGUCCUGGAUUUACCCCUGUGUGGAUUUAUUAAAGGCUAUUUGCAUUCA